UACGUAGGGUGCGAGCAUUGUCCGGAAUUAUUGGGCGUAAAGAGCUCGUAGGCGGUUUGUCGCGUCUGCCGUGAAAGUCCGGGGCUCAACUCCGGAUCUGCGGUGGGUACGGGCAGACUAGAGUGAUGUAGGGGAGACUGGAAUUCCUGGUGUAGCGGUGAAAUGCGCAGAUGUCAGGAGGAACACCGAUGGCGAAGGCAGGUCUCUGGGCAUUAACUGACGCUGAGGAGCGAAAGCAUGGGGAGCGAACAGG
Molecule: ribosomal RNA, 253 nt
Filed under: uncultured bacterium
Lineage: Bacteria
Description: partial 16S ribosomal RNA
Rfam family: Bacterial small subunit ribosomal RNA
Source: RNAcentral